GGCACAGUCGUGCAGUGGGUAGCACUGUUGCCUCACAGCAAGAAGGUCCUGGGUUCAAGUCCCAGCCUGGGCCC
This 74-nucleotide transfer RNA is filed under the name Anguilla anguilla (European eel). Its description in RNAcentral is "tRNA-OTHER". The record is from RNAcentral. Lineage: Eukaryota; Metazoa; Chordata; Actinopteri; Anguilliformes; Anguillidae.